AUGAGUUGUUUCCAGCUCACGAAGAAGAUAUGCCAGAACCUGACAUCAAUCUCUUCUAAAUUCUGGUGGGCAGCAACAAGUGGUGAACAAAAGGUACACUGGAUCUCUUGGCAGAAAAUAUGCGCUUCGAAAAGGAAUGGUGGCAUGGUUUUUCGUGACUCAGAGGCCUUCAACCAAGCUUUGUUAGCAAAGCAGGCAUGAAAAAUCCUGCAAGACCCGACUUCCCUGUGUGCAUGUGUUCUCAAGGCACGCUAUUUUUGUGCGGACUCGAUCAUGUCAGCUACAGCCCCAGCGUCGGCCUCGUACACUUUCAGAAGCAUUUUAUGGGGAAGAGACAUGCUACGGGAGCGACUGAUUGGCGUAUGGGUAGUGGGUGUGCUGUGA
RNAcentral lists this ribosomal RNA (384 nucleotides) under Triticum aestivum (bread wheat). RNAcentral's name for it is "partial small subunit ribosomal RNA". Lineage: Eukaryota; Viridiplantae; Streptophyta; Magnoliopsida; Poales; Poaceae. The record is from RNAcentral.